AGCGAACGCUGGCGGCAGGCCUAACACAUGCAAGUCGAACGAACCUUUCGGGGUUAGUGGCGGACGGGUGAGUAACACGUGGGAACGUGCCUUUAGGUUCGGAAUAACUCAGGGAAACUUGUGCUAAUACCGAAUGUGCCCUUCGGGGGAAAGAUUUAUCGCCUUUAGAGCGGCCCGCGUCUGAUUAGCUAGUUGGUUGAGGUAAUGGCUCACCAAGGCGACGAUCAGUAGCUGGUCUGAGAGGAUGAUCAGCCACAUUGGGACUGAGACACGGCCCAAACUCCUACGGGAGGCAGCAGUGGGGAAUCUUGCGAAAUGGGCGAAAGCCUGACACAGCCAUGCCGCGUGAAUGAUGAAGGUCUUAGGAUUGUAAAAUUCUUUCACCGGGGAAGAUAAUGACGGUACCCGGAGAAGAAGCCCCGGCUAACUUCGUG
This 434-nucleotide ribosomal RNA is filed under the name uncultured bacterium. Its description in RNAcentral is "partial 16S ribosomal RNA". It matches the Rfam family "Bacterial small subunit ribosomal RNA", at positions 29 to 507 of the family's 1533-position model. The record is from RNAcentral.